UGUGUUUGGACGCCUUUAGUGCAUUACA
RNAcentral lists this non-coding RNA (28 nucleotides) under Bombyx mori (domestic silkworm). The record is from RNAcentral. Lineage: Eukaryota; Metazoa; Arthropoda; Insecta; Lepidoptera; Bombycidae.